GGUUGAAUAACAUAAGUUGGUUAAUGUAUUCGAUUGCAAAUCGUAUGAUAUUGGUUCAAGUCCAAUUUUAACCU
Molecule: transfer RNA, 74 nt
Filed under: Asterionella formosa
Lineage: Eukaryota; Bacillariophyta; Fragilariophyceae; Tabellariales; Tabellariaceae
Description: tRNA-Cys
Rfam family: tRNA
About the family: Transfer RNA (tRNA) molecules are approximately 80 nucleotides in length.
Source: RNAcentral